CCGACGGGUGAGUAACACGUAUGCAAUCCACCUGUAACAGGGGAGUAACCCGGAGAAAUCCGGACUAAUACCCAUAAUAUGGGCGCUCCGCAUGGAGAGCCCAUUAAAGAGAGCAAUUUUGGUUACAGACGAGCAUGCGCUCCAUUAGCCAGUUGGCGGGGUAACGGCCCAUCAAAGCGACGAUGGAUAGGGGUUCUGAGAGGAAGGUCCCCCACAUUGGAACUGAGACACGGUCCAA
Molecule: ribosomal RNA, 238 nt
Filed under: uncultured bacterium
Lineage: Bacteria
Description: partial 16S ribosomal RNA
Rfam family: Bacterial small subunit ribosomal RNA
Source: RNAcentral